This 220-nucleotide ribosomal RNA is filed under the name Escherichia coli. Its description in RNAcentral is "partial 23S ribosomal RNA". It matches the Rfam family "Bacterial large subunit ribosomal RNA", at positions 1528 to 1746 of the family's 2925-position model. Lineage: Bacteria; Pseudomonadati; Pseudomonadota; Gammaproteobacteria; Enterobacterales; Enterobacteriaceae. The record is from RNAcentral.
UUUUCCAGGCAAAUCCGGAAAACCAAGGCUGAGGCGUGAUGACGAGGCACUACGGUGCUGAAGCGACAAAUGCCCUGCUUCCAGGAAAAGCCUCUAAGCAUCAGGUAACAUCAAAUCGUACCCCAAACCGACACAGGUGGUCAGGUAGAGAAUACCAAGGCGCUUGAGAGAACUCGGGUGAAGGAACUAGGCAAAAUGGUGCCGUAACUUCGGGAGAAGG